GUAGGUGGCAAGCGUUGUCCGGAAUUAUUGGGCGUAAAGCGCGCGCAGGCGGUUCUUUAAGUCUGAUGUGAAAGCCCACGGGCUCAACCGUGGAGGGUCAUUGGAAACUGGAGAACUUGAGUACAGAAGAGGAAAGCGGAAUUCCACGUGUAGCGGUGAAAUGCGUAGAGAUGUGGAGGAACACCAGUGGCGAGGGCGGCUUUCUGGUCUGUAACUGACGCUGAGGCGCGAAAGCGUGGGGAGCAAACAGGAUUAGAUACCCUGGUAGUCCACGCCGUAAACGAUGAGUGCUAAGUGUUAGGGGGUUUCCGCCCCUUAGUGCUGCAGCUAACGCAUUAAGCACUCCGCCUGGGGAGUACGGCCGCAAGGCUG
Molecule: ribosomal RNA, 372 nt
Filed under: uncultured organism
Description: partial 16S ribosomal RNA
Rfam family: Bacterial small subunit ribosomal RNA
Source: RNAcentral